GUCUAUGGCCAUACCACCUGAAUGUACCUGAUCGCAUCUGAUCUCAGAACCUGAGCAGGGUAGGGCUUGGUCACAUAUGACAAAUAUUCACAUUUUAUUUCCAGUUACUACACAUU
This 116-nucleotide ribosomal RNA is filed under the name Castor canadensis (American beaver). The record is from RNAcentral. Lineage: Eukaryota; Metazoa; Chordata; Mammalia; Rodentia; Castoridae.